AGUGGCGGACGGGUGAGUAACGCGUGGGUAACCUGCCUCAUACAGGGGGAUAGCAGCUGGAAACGGCUGCUAAUACCGCAUAAGCGCACAGUACCGCAUGGUACGGUGUGAAAAACUCCGGUGGUAUGAGAUGGACCCGCGUCUGAUUAGGUAGUUGGUGGGGUAACGGCCUACCAAGCCGACGACCAGUAGCCGACCUGAGAGGGUGACCGGCCACAUUGGGACUGAGACACGGCCCAA
RNAcentral lists this ribosomal RNA (240 nucleotides) under uncultured bacterium. Its description in RNAcentral is "partial 16S ribosomal RNA". It matches the Rfam family "Bacterial small subunit ribosomal RNA", at positions 94 to 334 of the family's 1533-position model. The record is from RNAcentral.